RNAcentral lists this long non-coding RNA (854 nucleotides) under Lathyrus oleraceus (garden pea). Its description in RNAcentral is "Pisum sativum (pea) long non-coding RNA (PSAT_LNC037040)". Lineage: Eukaryota; Viridiplantae; Streptophyta; Magnoliopsida; Fabales; Fabaceae. The record is from RNAcentral.
UGAAAUACAGCUUUUCAAAAUCAAGUGAUUGUGAGGUACUAUACAUCCCUCUAAUAUUCUUUCAAUCUCUAUAUAAAUUUACGUAAAUUUCAUGAAUAUAUAUAUAUAUAUGAAUAAAUUUUGUUGUUGUUACAGUAAAAAACCCCACAGCCGAUCACGUAAUUAUGAUGGAAAGUCAAUAUGAUAUAAGGUAAGGAUGUAUCAAGAACUUCAACAUUUAUAUGCUUUAAAUAGGCAAAGACAAUAAUAUUUUACUUAUCUAUGUAGGUUCAGCGACAAAGCGAGGGUGGAGAUAGUAGCAUUGAGUUCGAUGGUAUUAUGCUUUCUAUUAAUUAUCUUUCCAGCACUAAAGGUAUCGUCCUUUGGUAGUAAUUUCAUGGGAUUUAUUGUUGAUGGUGUUCCUCUCAUUUCCUGUCUUCUUGUUAUAACCUUCCAAAUAGUAAUAUUUGUUAUUAUAGCAAACCAUCCCGUUAACAAGACCAUAUUUCCAAUCUUAUAUAUAUUGCUUCUCUUAACUGCAACAUCAGUUAUACAAAUCAGCUUUAUUUCAUUUAUGUCUGCUAUCUUUAUUUUGUUCACAUGGAUUCUCACAAUUGCAAUUAUUCUUUGUAUUAACAGCCAAGAGAUCAAUGAUGCAGAUAUAGCAUCCUUCAAUGGAUUCCGAAUAUUUUUAACAAUAAUUUCUGUAAUUUCCCUACUUUGGAAUGCUAAUAGCAUAUUUCACCUUUGUUAUCCUUAAUUCUAUUUUCUUCUCCUCGAUGGAAAAUAUCUAAAUCGAUUAUCUUUAAACUGAUUAUGUGUAUUAAUAGUACUUAGGAUUUUCGAGCUCAUCAAUGCUAAUUUAUAGUUUUUUU